RNAcentral lists this ribosomal RNA (712 nucleotides) under uncultured bacterium. RNAcentral's name for it is "bacterial SSU rRNA". It matches the Rfam family "Bacterial small subunit ribosomal RNA", at positions 347 to 1064 of the family's 1533-position model. The record is from RNAcentral.
GGCUGCAGUGGGGAAUAUUGGACAAUGGGCGGAAGCCUGAUCCAGCAACGCCGCGUGAGGGAUGACUGCCUUCGGGUUGUAAACCUCUUUCAUCAUUGACGAAGCUCAGCGUUUAGUUGGGUGACGGUAGGUGGAGAAGAAGCACCGGCCAACUACGUGCCAGCAGCCGCGGUAAUACGUAGGGUGCGAGCGUUGUCCGGAAUUAUUGGGCGUAAAGGGCUCGUAGGCGGUUUAUCGCGUCGGGAGUGAAAACACUGGGCUUAACCGAGUGCUUGCUUUCGAUACGGGCAGACUAGAGGUAUGCAGGGGAGAACGGAAUUCCUGGUGUAGCGGUGAAAUGCGCAGAUAUCAGGAGGAACACCGGUGGCGAAGGCGGUUCUCUGGGCAUUACCUGACGCUGAGGAGCGAAAGUGUGGGGAGCGAACAGGAUUAGAUACCCUGGUAGUCCACACCGUAAACGUUGGGCGCUAGGUGUGGGGUCUAUUCCAUGGACUCCGUGCCGCAGCUAACGCAUUAAGCGCCCCGCCUGGGGAGUACGGCCGCAAGGCUAAACUCAAAGGAAUUGACGGGGGCCCGCACAAGCGGCGGAGCAUGCGGAUUAAUUCGAUGCAACGCGAAGAACCUUACCUGGGUUUGACAUAUACCGGAAAGCCUUAGAGAUAACGCCCCUUUUGUCGGUAUACAGGUGGUGCAUGGCUGUCGUCAGCUCGUG